GCCGCCGGGCUCCUGACCACAAGGGGGCGCAUCUCCUCCACUGUCUCCCGCAGCCUGAGAACUGCGCUGCUAUUGUGGACGGAGGAGCAGUCACUGACACGGAAGCUGCCUCCUGUAGGGAGAGAUGGCACUGGCUGCAGCUAGGGGGAGCUCCAGAGCACAGCUCCUCUUCUAGCCAGCCGAGGGAAGCUCUCUGCUCCGUCAGCCUGAUGAUGAAAGCCAAAGACAGAUGAAUCCCACCCUGCCCGUUUUUGUGCGCCCUACCAACCCGCCGUUUUCUGCCUGCCGUACCCCGCCACGCCGCCAGACCCAGCCGUGCGCCGCCGGACCCGACACCAAUUACACCUGGCAUUCCCAGCACCCCGGACCUGAGUCCAUCUCCUACUCUACCCACUCCCUGCGAAAGAAACAACGGCCAAAAAAAAGCACCCAGGAGAAGGAACCCACUACUAAAUUGAGCAUAGAGGCUUGGACGCAGACCAAAAAAUGCAAUUUGAAGGAUUGACGUCCAUAUCUUCAAAGCAUGCAGUGGUCUCCUGACCUCUGAGACAAGCAUAACAUCAGGCCCACUGUUCUUCUCCCAGCUCAACUCUCCUCCCCACCAAACACCUACUAUUCCACCCAGACAUACUUUGCACCAAAGCCCGACUAGAUCCCCCUCCUACCAACCAGCUCCCACACACCCCUCCUACCAACCAGCUCCCCCACCCACCUCCUUCUGACCAGCCUCCUACAACCAACAUGCUCCCUCACCAACCUCUUACCAACCAGUUCCCACACCCCCUUCCUACCAACCUGCUCCAAAACCCACCUCCUCCUGAUAACAUACUCCCCCACCAACCGCCUACCAACCAGCUCCCACACCCCCCUCCUACUAACCUGCUCCCUCACCUCCUCCUACCAAACAGCUGCCACACACCCCUCCUACCAACCUGCUCAAACACACACUUCCUCCUACCAACCUGCUGUUAUGAUCUGUUUUUAUUGGGUCAGCUUGCCAUGUUUUCCUGCAUUCCCAAUUCAUUUCAUAUUCCUGCAUGUUCCUGUGUGUUCAGCUUCAGCUGCAGUAUAAUGAGUUUUGUGUUUCCUGUCCCUCAUUCCAUGCUGGUCAUAGAUCCUGGUUGUUGCAGUAGCCUUUGUCUCUAGGUCCCAGUUCAAGUCGAGGAAAUCUUUCUCUGGUUUUCUGUUUCUGUCCCCUGCAGUAUACCUGUAUUCAGUUCUGUGUCAGUUAUGCAAUUAUCUGCAUCCUACUCAGUAUACCUGUGUCUAGCUCUGUGCCAGUUAUAUAGUUACCAGCAUCCAACUCUGUAUUCCUGUGUCCAGCUCAGUGUCAGUACAUAAUCUUUAGCAUUUUACUCUGUGUUCCAGUCUCCGUCUGCAGAAUUCUCACCUGCCUGUCAGCACUUAUCUACAGUGUAAGCUCUGGUGUCAUGCCUCAGCUCUGUACCAGCCUUCCAUAUAAUAACCUUGCUGUAUUAUAUACCCUUAGUCUUUUCUUUAGUAUUAGCGAAGUACUAGCUGUUAGUUAUAGUACUGUUCCUCCCAGCCUGGAGGUUAUCCCCAGUUAGGGGUAUAAUUUGUGUUUACUCUCCUCAGUAUUAACCUCUUCCUGGCCCGGCAGUCCCUUUUCCCCUUAGUACUUUAGUCCUAGUUACUUUGCCAUUGUUUGCCUUCCCUUCUCUCCGUUCAUCCCUGCUGCCCACUUAGUUAUCUUAGGGUUCAGUUGUUGCCGGCUUUGAUUCAGGUCACCUAGGGGUUGAGCUCAUACUACAGCCAGUGGCGUAAAUCCUGGUGGGCUUCCCAGUACCGGUAGAUGCAUAGAGUCUUAUGGGAAAAGCGGCUUUUAUAGGCAAGGAGACCUGCUGUGUGUGUUCUAUGAGUCUCAACCUUGGGUUAACAGGGGUCACUGCCUGAAGACCUGCAAGCAACUCUGAAUCCCAAAGGAAGAUCUCCAUUCCACCGUAACACCUGCCUUAACACCCACCUCCUCCAACCAACUUGCUCGACCACCCUGUAGUUUCAGCUUUACUGGAAGCUCAGUAGUACAGUUCGGACUUGUUUACAUUGUGAUGUGUCCCCCCAGUAAUCUACAAGUAUCCUUACAUCUUGAUAAGUAUCGUGCUGUCUGCUGCAUUGUGCUUUUGUGGCACAGAUUCAGGCAGAUUAAUGAAACACAUAUGGCCGGGCCAUUGAAUUUGCCCUUGCAGCAUGUGUUUUGUUCUCCAAUCUGAAACUGUGACAAAACCACCAAGCAAUUUACAGCACCAUAUUUAUACAUAGUUAUCAGGGAUUGUGAUACUUUCACAUCAUUUUUGCAUACUAUACUUUCUUGCAUACCAAAAAAGUGUCAUGUGAGCAAAGUUUUACAUAUUUUAUAUAUGUUGUGCAUUAUAUAUACAUAUAUAUAUAUAUAUAUAUAUUCUAUUUUUUAUAAAACUCUGUAUUUAAGCAGCCGUGCUGGCAUCAAAGAAAAGAAGAACUAUUUUUUUUAA
Molecule: long non-coding RNA, 2492 nt
Organism: Pseudophryne corroboree (corroboree frog)
Lineage: Eukaryota; Metazoa; Chordata; Amphibia; Anura; Myobatrachidae
Exons: 3
Source: RefSeq, a predicted model, not a curated record